UACGGGGGGGGCAAGCGUUGUUCGGAAUUACUGGGCGUAAAGGGCUCGUAGGCGGCCAACUAAGUCGGAUGUGAAAUCCCCAGGCUCAACUUGGGAACUGCAUCCGAUACUGGAUGGCUUGAAUUCGGGAGAGGGAUGCAGAAUUCCAGGUGUAGCGGUGAAAUGCGUAGAUAUCUGGAGGAACACCGGUGGCGAAGGCGGCAUCCUGGACCAACACUGACACUGAGGAGCGAAAGCCAGGGGAGCAAACGGG
This 253-nucleotide ribosomal RNA is filed under the name uncultured bacterium. RNAcentral's name for it is "partial 16S ribosomal RNA". It matches the Rfam family "Bacterial small subunit ribosomal RNA", at positions 524 to 776 of the family's 1533-position model. The record is from RNAcentral.